This 510-nucleotide ribosomal RNA is filed under the name uncultured bacterium. Its description in RNAcentral is "bacterial SSU rRNA". It matches the Rfam family "Bacterial small subunit ribosomal RNA", at positions 28 to 537 of the family's 1533-position model. The record is from RNAcentral.
GAUGAACGCUAGCGGCAGGCUUAACACAUGCAAGUCGAGGGGCAGCACGUCUUCGGAUGGUGGCGACCGGCGCACGGGUGAGUAACGCGUAUGCAAUCUACCUUUUACAGGGGCAUAGCCCGGGGAAACCCGGAUUAAUAUCCUAUAGUACCAUUAUAUAGCAUUAUAUUAUGGUUAAAGUUUCGGCGGUAAAAGAUGAGCAUGCGUCCUAUUAGCUUGAUGGUAAGGUAACGGCUUACCAUGGCUAUGAUAGGUAGGGGUCCUGAGAGGGAGACCCCCCACACUGGUACUGAGACACGGACCAGACUCCUACGGGAGGCAGCAGUGAGGAAUAUUGGACAAUGGGCGAGAGCCUGAUCCAGCCAUGCCGCGUGCAGGAAGACGGCCCUAUGGGUUGUAAACUGCUUUUAUACGGGAAGAAACACCCCUUCGUGAAGGGACUUGACGGUACCGUAUGAAUAAGGAUCGGCUAACUCCGUGCCAGCAGCCGCGGUAAUACGGAGGAUACCG